GACGAACGCUGGCGGCGUGCUUAACACAUGCAAGUCGAACGCUGAAGCUCGGUGCUUGCACUGGGUGGAUGAGUGGCGAACGGGUGAGUAAUACGUGAGUAACCUGCCCUUGACUCUGGGAUAAGCCUGGGAAACUGGGUCUAAUACUGGAUACGACAUGUCACCGCAUGGUGGUGUGUGGAAAGGGUUUUACUGGUUUUGGAUGGGCUCACGGCCUAUCAGCUUGUUGGUGGGGUAAUGGCUCACCAAGGCGACGACGGGUAGCCGGCCUGAGAGGGUGACCGGCCACACUGGGACUGAGACACGGCCCAGACUCCUACGGGAGGCAGCAGUGGGGAAUAUUGCACAAUGGGCGGAAGCCUGAUGCAGCGACGCCGCGUGAGGGAUGACGGCCUUCGGGUUGUAAACCUCUUUCAGCACGGAAGAAGCGAAAGUGACGGUACGUGCAGAAGAAGCGCCGGCUAACUACGUG
This 472-nucleotide ribosomal RNA is filed under the name uncultured bacterium. Its description in RNAcentral is "partial 16S ribosomal RNA". It matches the Rfam family "Bacterial small subunit ribosomal RNA", at positions 28 to 507 of the family's 1533-position model. The record is from RNAcentral.